CUCAGGAUGAACGCUGGCGGUAUGCUUAACACAUGCAAGUCGAACGGUCUCUUCGGAGAUAGUGGCGGACGGGUGAGUAACGCGUGAGAACAUGCCUUUAGAUUGGGGACAACAGUUGGAAACGACUGCUAAUACCGAAUGUGCCUUAGGGUGAAAGAUUUAUUGUCUAGAGAUUGGCUCGCGUCAGAUUAGCUAGUUGGAGUGGUAACGGCACACCAAGGCGACGAUCUGUACUUGGUCUGAGAGGAUGACCAGGCACACUGGAACUGAGACACGGUCCAGACUCCUACGGGAGGCAGCAGUGGGGAAUUUUCCGCAAUGGGCGAAAGCCUGACGGAGCAAUACCGCGUGAGGGAGGACGGCUUUUGGGUUGUAAACCUCUUUUAUCAGGGAAGAAUCGAUGACGGUACCUGAUGAAUCAGCAUCGGCUAACUCCGUGCCAGCAGCCGCGGUAAUACGGAGGAUGCAAGCGUUAUCCGGAAUUAUUGGGCGUAAAGCGUCCGUAGGUGGUUUAUCAAGUCUGCUGUCAAAGCGUGCGGCUUAACCGCAUAAGGGCAGUGGAAACUGAUGAACUAGAGUGCGAUAGGGGUAACAGGAAUUCCCAGUGUAGCGGUGAAAUGCGUAGAUAUUGGGAAGAACACCAGCGGCGAAAGCGUGUUACUGGGUCUGCACUGACACUGAGGGACGAAAGCUAGGGGAGCGAAAGGGAUUAGAUACCCCUGUAGUCCUAGCCGUAAACGAUGACAACUAGGCGUGGUUCGUAUCGACCCGAGCCGUGCCGUAGCCAACGCGUUAAGUUGUCCGCCUGGGGAGUACGCACGCAAGUGUGAAACUCAAAGGAAUUGACGGGGGCCCGCACAAGCGGUGGAGUAUGUGGUUUAAUUCGAUGCAACGCGAAGAACCUUACCAAGGCUUGACAUCCUCGGAACCCUGAUGAAAGUUAGGGGUGCCUUCGGGAGCCGAGAGACAGGUGGUGCAUGGCUGUCGUCAGCUCGUGUCGUGAGAUGUUGGGUUAAGUCCCGCAACGAGCGCAACCCACGUUUUUAGUUGCCAGCAUUCAGUUGGGCACUCUAGAGAGACUGCCGGUGACAAACCGGAGGAAGGUGUGGAUGACGUCAAGUCAGCAUGCCCCAUACGCCUUGGGCUACACACGUACUACAAUGCGUCGGACAAAGAGCAGCCAGCCAGCGAUGGUGAGCCAAUCUCAU
Molecule: ribosomal RNA, 1208 nt
Filed under: Leptolyngbya boryana UAM 391
Lineage: Bacteria; Bacillati; Cyanobacteriota; Cyanophyceae; Leptolyngbyales; Leptolyngbyaceae
Description: bacterial SSU rRNA
Rfam family: Bacterial small subunit ribosomal RNA
Source: RNAcentral